UGGGGAAUUUUGGACAAUGGGCGAAAGCCUGAUCCAGCAAUGCCGCGUGUGUGAAGAAGGCCUUCGGGUUGUAAAGCACUUUUGUCCGGAAAGAAAUGGCUCUGGUUAAUACCUGGGGUCGAUGACGGUACCGGAAGAAUAAGGACCGGCUAACUACGUGCCAGCAGCCGCGGUAAUACGUAGGGUCCAAGCGUUAAUCGGAAUUACUGGGCGUAAAGCGUGCGCAGGCGGUUGUGCAAGACCGAUGUGAAAUCCCGAGCUUAACUUGGGAAUUGCAUUGGUGACUGCACGGCUAGAGUGUGUCAGAGGGGGGUUAGAAUUCCACGUGUAGCAGUGAAAUGCGUAGAGAUGUGGAGGAAUACCGAUGGCGAAGGCAGCCCCCUGGGAUAACACUGACGCUCAUGCACGAAAGCGUGGGGAGCAAACAGGAUUAGAUACCCUGGUAGUCCACGCCCUAAACGAUGUCAACUAGUUGUUGGGGAUUCAUUUCCUUAGUAACGUAGCUAACGCGUGAAGUUGAUCCGCCUGGGGAGUACGGUCGCAAGA
RNAcentral lists this ribosomal RNA (546 nucleotides) under uncultured bacterium. RNAcentral describes it as "partial 16S ribosomal RNA". It matches the Rfam family "Bacterial small subunit ribosomal RNA", at positions 355 to 893 of the family's 1533-position model. The record is from RNAcentral.